RNAcentral lists this small nuclear RNA (19 nucleotides) under Arabidopsis thaliana (thale cress). RNAcentral's name for it is "snRNA_09480". The record is from RNAcentral. Lineage: Eukaryota; Viridiplantae; Streptophyta; Magnoliopsida; Brassicales; Brassicaceae.
UCUUGAACUUCAACAUGCU